RNAcentral lists this ribosomal RNA (1407 nucleotides) under Mycobacterium sp. SPE2-2. Its description in RNAcentral is "bacterial SSU rRNA". It matches the Rfam family "Bacterial small subunit ribosomal RNA". Lineage: Bacteria; Bacillati; Actinomycetota; Actinomycetes; Mycobacteriales; Mycobacteriaceae. The record is from RNAcentral.
GCUUACACAUGCAGUCGAACGGAAAGGCCCUUCGGGGUACUCGAGUGGCGAACGGGUGAGUAACACGUGGGUGAUCUGCCCUGCACUUUGGGAUAAGCCUGGGAAACUGGGUCUAAUACCGAAUAUGACCAUGCGCCUCCUGGUGUGUGGUGGAAAGCUUUUGCGGUGUGGGAUGGGCCCGCGGCCUAUCAGCUUGUUGGUGGGGUAAUGGCCUACCAAGGCGACGACGGGUAGCCGGCCUGAGAGGGUGACCGGCCACACUGGGACUGAGAUACGGCCCAGACUCCUACGGGAGGCAGCAGUGGGGAAUAUUGCACAAUGGGCGCAAGCCUGAUGCAGCGACGCCGCGUGAGGGAUGACGGCCUUCGGGUUGUAAACCUCCUUUCAGCACAGACGAAGCGCAAGUGACGGUAUGUGCAGAAGAAGGACCGGCCAACUACGUGCCAGCAGCCGCGGUAAUACGUAGGGUCCGAGCGUUGUCCGGAAUUACUGGGCGUAAAGAGCUCGUAGGUGGUUUGUCGCGUUGUUCGUGAAAACUCACAGCUUAACUGUGGGCGUGCGGGCGAUACGGGCAGACUUGAGUACUGCAGGGGAGACUGGAAUUCCUGGUGUAGCGGUGGAAUGCGCAGAUAUCAGGAGGAACACCGGUGGCGAAGGCGGGUCUCUGGGCAGUAACUGACGCUGAGGAGCGAAAGCGUGGGGAGCGAACAGGAUUAGAUACCCUGGUAGUCCACGCCGUAAACGGUGGGUACUAGGUGUGGGUUUCCUUCCUUGGGAUCCGUGCCGUAGCUAACGCAUUAAGUACCCCGCCUGGGGAGUACGGCCGCAAGGCUAAAACUCAAAGAAAUUGACGGGGGCCCGCACAAGCGGCGGAGCAUGUGGAUUAAUUCGAUGCAACGCGAAGAACCUUACCUGGGUUUGACAUGCACAGGACGCCGGCAGAGAUGUCGGUUCCCUUGUGGCCUGUGUGCAGGUGGUGCAUGGCUGUCGUCAGCUCGUGUCGUGAGAUGUUGGGUUAAGUCCCGCAACGAGCGCAACCCUUGUCCUAUGUUGCCAGCGGGUUAUGCCGGGGACUCGUAGGAGACUGCCGGGGUCAACUCGGAGGAAGGUGGGGAUGACGUCAAGUCAUCAUGCCCCUUAUGUCCAGGGCUUCACACAUGCUACAAUGGCCGGUACAAAGGGCUGCGAUGCCGUGAGGUGGAGCGAAUCCUUUCAAAGCCGGUCUCAGUUCGGAUCGGGGUCUGCAACUCGACCCCGUGAAGUCGGAGUCGCUAGUAAUCGCAGAUCAGCAACGCUGCGGUGAAUACGUUCCCGGGCCUUGUACACACCGCCCGUCACGUCAUGAAAGUCGGUAACACCCGAAGCCGGUGGCCUAACCCCUUGUGGGAGGGAGCCGUCGAAGGUGAU